AACGAACGCUGGCGGCAGGCUUAACACAUGCAAGUCGAACGCAUGCCUUCGGGCAUGAGUGGCAGACGGGUGAGUAACGCGUGGGAACCUACCCCUUGGUACGGGAUAGCUCCGGGAAACUGGAGAUAAUACCGUAUGUGUCCUGAGGGACAAAGAUUCAUCGCCAAGGGAUGGGCCCGCGUCGGAUUAGCUAGUUGGUGGGGUAACGGCCUACCAAGGCGACGAUCCGUAGCUGGUCUAAGAGGAUGAUCAGCCACAUUGGGACUGAGACACGGCCCAAACUCCUACGGGAGGGAGCAGUGGGGAAUAUUGGACACUGGGCGCAAGCCUGAACCAGCCAUGCCGCGUGAGUGAUGAAGGCCCGAGGGUUGUAAAGCUCUUUAACCGGUGACGAUAAUGACGGUAACCGGAGAAGAAGCCCCGGCUAACUUCGUG
RNAcentral lists this ribosomal RNA (435 nucleotides) under uncultured bacterium. RNAcentral describes it as "partial 16S ribosomal RNA". It matches the Rfam family "Bacterial small subunit ribosomal RNA", at positions 29 to 507 of the family's 1533-position model. The record is from RNAcentral.